RNAcentral lists this ribosomal RNA (1992 nucleotides) under gut metagenome. RNAcentral describes it as "bacterial LSU rRNA". It matches the Rfam family "Bacterial large subunit ribosomal RNA", at positions 3 to 2028 of the family's 2925-position model. The record is from RNAcentral.
UCAAGCAAGAAAGAGCACAGGGCGGAUGCCUUGGCACUGAGAGCCGAAGAAAGACGUGAUAAGCUGCGAAAAGCCAUGGGGAGGAGCAAAUAUCCCUUGAUCCAUGGAUCUCUGAAUGGGGAAACCCGGCUGGACAGACUCCAGUCAUCCAUGCGCCAAUCCAUAACGCAUGGAGGGGAACCCGGUGAACUGAAACAUCUAAGUAGCCGGAGGAAGAGAAAGAAACAUCGAUUCCGCAAGUAGCGGCGAGCGAACGCGGAAGAGGCCAAACCGGAAUGCGUGCAUUCCGGGGUUCGGACCGCAGACCUGAUUCAGGAAGUCCAGCAGAACGGCUUUGGGAAAGCCGGCCAGAGAGGGUGAAAGCCCCGUAAGCGAAGGACAGACUGACAGAGCGGUAUCCAGAGUAGGACGAGACACGAGAAACCUUGUCUGAACGAGCGGGGACCACCCCGUAAGCCUAAAUACUCCUCAGUGACCGAUAGCGCAAAGUACUGUGAAGGAAAGGUGAAAAGGACCCCGGGAGGGGAGUGAAAGAGAACCUGAAACCCUGUGUUUACAAGCUGUGGAAGCACUUUAUAUGUGCAACCGCGUACUUUUUGUAGAACGGUCCGGCGAGUUGCGUGUGCGGGCAAGGUUAAGCACUUCAGGUGCGGAGCCGAAGGGAAACCAAGUCUUAAGAGGGCGCCAAGUCCGCAGAUGCAGACCCGAAACCGGGUGACCUAUCCAUGUCCAGGUUGAAGCUGCCGUAAGAGGUAGUGGAGGACCGAACCCACAUCCGUUGAAAAGGGUGGGGAUGAGGUGUGGAUAGCGGAGAAAUUCCAAUCGAACCCGGAGAUAGCUGGUUCUCCUCGAAAUAGCUUUAGGGCUAGCCUCAUGAUAAUCUUGCGGAGGUAGAGCACUGAAUUCCUGCGGGGGCGUCAAAGCUUACCAAGGGAUAUCAAACUCCGAAUGCCGUGUAGAUGUUUCAUGGGAGUCAGACUGCACGAGAUAAGUUGGGUGGUCAAAAGGGAAAGAGCCCAGACCACCGGCUAAGGUCCCAAAGUGUGUGUUAAGUGGAAAAGGAUGUGGGGAUUCAAAGACAACUAGGAUGUUGGCUCAGAAGCAGCCAUACAUUCAAAGAGUGCGUAACAGCUCACUAGUCGAGAGUCCCUGCGCCGAAAAUGUCCGGGGCUGAAACACACCACCGAAGCCGUGGAAUUGCUCAGGCAAUUGGUAGAGGAGCAUUCUUAAGACCGAAGAAGCUGUACCGGAAGGAGCAGUGGAGGGAUAAGAAGAGAGAAUGCCGGAAUGAGUAGCGAGAGAGAGGUGAGAAUCCUCUCGGCCGAAUAUCCAAGGUUUCCAGAGUAAAGCUGAUCUGCUCUGGGUAAGUCGGGACCUAAGGCGAGGGCGAAAGCCGUAGCCGAUGGACAACAGGCAGAGAUUCCUGUACCGCAUAUAAACAGAACUGUGGGGACGCAUGCAGAAAGCAUAAGCCGGGAAUGGAAAGACCGGUACAAGCGGAGGAGGAGACGGGAAGGCAAAUCCGUCCGUCAAUCCAGAACCGUUAUGUGGAGCGAAAUAAAGUAGUGAAGUAUGCAGGCUGUGUGCCGAGAAAAGCCGCUAUUGUUUUAUAUGUGCCCGUACCGUAAACCGACACAGGUGGAUGAGGAGAGAAUCCUAAGGCCGACGGAAGAAGCAUUGUUAAGGAACUCGGCAAAAUGACCCCGUAACUUCGGGAGAAGGGGUGCCACAGAAAUGUGGCCGCAGAGAAUAGGCUCAAGCAACUGUUUAGCAAAAACACAGGUCUAUGCGAAACCGAAAGGUGAGGUAUAUGGGCUGACGCCUGCCCGGUGCUGGAAGGUUAAGAGGAGAGGUUAGCUUCGGCGAAGCUUUGAAUUGAAGCCCCAGUAAACGGCGGCCGUAACUAUAACGGUCCUAAGGUAGCGAAAUUCCUUGUCGGGUAAGUUCCGACCCGCACGAAAGGCGUAAUGAUUUGAGCACUGUCUCGACAAU